Citrus sinensis (sweet orange) is the source of this 162-nucleotide non-coding RNA. Lineage: Eukaryota; Viridiplantae; Streptophyta; Magnoliopsida; Sapindales; Rutaceae. The record is from Rfam.
AUACUUACCUGGACGGGGUCAAUCGGCGAUCAUGAAGGCCCAUGGCCUAGGUUGGUGGCCUCCAUUGCACUUGGGAGGUGCACCCGCCUAAGGUCAGCCCAAAGUGGUUGAGCCUACGUCAUAAUUUGUGGCAGUGGGGGCCUGCGUUCGCGCGGCCCCCUC